CAAAAGCUGCUUGAUGUAAUUCUUCUAAUUGAAAUAGAAAGGAAGCAUUGCUUCCUGAUUUAUGCUUACUUGGACUAUGAAAUGGCUAUAGUUGAAUAGGAGAUAGUAUACAGCUUUCUAUAUAGGUUAAUUUAUGUAUUUGGAUUUGUGUAUGUUAGAUAGAUGACUAUAUGGGUCUGCUUAUGUAAUUCAUGCUAUUUCUUUUGGUUUGUAUAUGGACUAUAUAAAUACUGUGAACUUACUCUCGUUUCGUUAUAAUUUGUAAGGGUGUAGCUGUCUGGUGUAGUGCUAGGGUAAGUUAAGUCUAUUUAAGGGAUUGAAAUCUGCCAAUCAUCGAUAGAAGAUUAGGAGUUUGGUGUUUGUUUCACUUCAGUAGCAUUGAAACUUGGAGUCAAGUUUAUUUAUGAAAGUUCAUAUAUAUGUUCUGAU
RNAcentral lists this long non-coding RNA (429 nucleotides) under Nicotiana benthamiana. RNAcentral describes it as "long non-coding RNA (NBEN_LNC023311)". Lineage: Eukaryota; Viridiplantae; Streptophyta; Magnoliopsida; Solanales; Solanaceae. The record is from RNAcentral.